UCUCUCCUGGGACUGUUUGCCUGGGGUCAAGGAUAAGACAAGCCCAUCAAAUAUCAAAGGGAUCAGAGAGGGAGGGGGGUAAAGGUUGUAAAAAUAGCUAUUUACUGACUUGGGAAAGCAUAUUGCACUGAUACAUAAUAUGCAUUCAAUCUUCCAGCCAUAGUCUGUGAUCGAUACACACACACACCUGCUCGCACAGGCACACACAAACUCACCCACGUGCACGGAUACGACCACACAAGUGUUGUCAUCCUUGAAACAAUAAUCUGACUUUCUCAGGUCUGAUAGCAUUUCCGACAUCCGUCUCAGCUUCCAGCCUGCAACCCCUAACUCAAUCACUCUGCUCCACUCUGCUUCUCUCUCCUCCAUCCCUCCAUCCCUGAAUGAAGUUGCUGCUGGAUAUCUUGACCAGUAACUGCAAACCUUUAAUGUCUGAAAGGAAGCUUCCAGAGUUCCGGCGUACAGCUCCCAUUCUCUAUGGGUGAAGAGAACUGAGUGAGGUGUAUCUCUACGUGUGAACAGGAGGUGGAUGUUUCUGCUGUGUUUCAACUAUUCUGUUUCCUCUGGUCUCCAGGGACAGCCACAAAGACAUGCCUCAGGCCCGCUGCCUGGUGUCUUCUCCAGGGUGGGAGGGGGUUUGCUUGUGGCGCCAUCAUCUCCACCCCUCCCUGUCAUCCACAGGAGCUGCAGGUUGUAAUUACAAAGCAUGGGGGCACAGUGACAGCCACGCAUGGAUGAGAACAGUUAGGGGGCUAUUUACAUGCCCGCUAGGGUGAACAUGCAGAGGAAUGAUAACAAACAUCCGUGGUUUAAAAUUCUAGCUAGAUAGGUGGACAGAAAGGUAGACAGGCAGGCAGGCAAACAGACAAACAGUAAAACUCCCAUAUGGUCGUUUGAUCCUUCGGAGCUGAAUCUCUAACAUCAGAGCUACUGCACUGGCAUUGAUGCCACCCCUCCCCCUCUCCUCCUCCCCCUCUCAUCCUCCUCUCUUCUCAUACCCUCCCCCUCUCCUCUCCUCCUUUGGGGGUUGGAACAGGAGGAGCAUUAACAGCUGGAGGAGAACAUAAGAAGAAAACCCCCCACA
Osmerus eperlanus (European smelt) is the source of this 1084-nucleotide long non-coding RNA. RefSeq lists it as uncharacterized. Lineage: Eukaryota; Metazoa; Chordata; Actinopteri; Osmeriformes; Osmeridae. The record is from RefSeq and is a predicted model, not a curated record. The transcript has 2 exons.